This 273-nucleotide long non-coding RNA is filed under the name Rosa chinensis. Its description in RNAcentral is "sRNA RchiOBHm_Chr5g0054751". The record is from RNAcentral. Lineage: Eukaryota; Viridiplantae; Streptophyta; Magnoliopsida; Rosales; Rosaceae.
CCCUCUCUCUUCUCCCCCGACCCCUUCCCCUUUCGGCCCGAACUGGUUUACCUCCGAUUUCUCCCUCCUCCGGCCGACCCACGACGGAAUCCGGCUACCCCCAGGCUCGUCUCCUCCCCCUUGACACAUUGGCGGUGGUGUUUUGUGAAGAUUUGGCCGGAGAAGCUUGAUUUCGCGCCGGGAAGGUAAUGUGUGGAGGUCGAAUCGAUCGAACCCGAUACUAGGGUUCUUGAAUUUUUCUGGAAAAUUUUCACCGGCUUAAUUGGAGCUCUU